AUUGAACGCUGGCGGCAGGCCUAACACAUGCAAGUCGAGCGAGCGGCGGACGGGUGAGUAAUGUCUGGGAAACUGCCUGAUGGAGGGGGAUAACUACUGGAAACGGUAGCUAAUACCGCAUACCAUCAGAUGUGCCCAGAUGGGAUUAGCUAGUAGGUGGGGUAACGGCUCACCUAGGCGACGAUCCCUAGCUGGUCUGAGAGGAGGACCAGCCACACUGGAACUGAGACACGGUCCAGAUGUCUACGGGAGGCAGCAGUGGGGAAGAUUGCACAAGGGGCGCAAGCCUGAUGCAGCCAUGCCGAGUGUGUGAAGAAGGCCUGCGGGUUGUAAAGCACGUUCAGCGGGGAGGCGUUACCCGCAGAAGAAGCACCGGCUAACUCCGUGCCAGCAGCCGCGGUAAUUC
Molecule: ribosomal RNA, 406 nt
Filed under: uncultured bacterium
Lineage: Bacteria
Description: partial 16S ribosomal RNA
Rfam family: Bacterial small subunit ribosomal RNA
Source: RNAcentral